GAUAAAUUAAACUAAAAAAUAUAUAAAAAUGUUUUUGGAUUAUUCAUUACAACUUUUUUUUAUUUUCAAAUACAAAACAGAAAAUGCGAUAAUGAGAGACUCAACUAAACUAUACUACAACAAACUCCAACACCAACUAAAAGAAUCAUUACUACUGGGCAUAAUUAUAAAGUACAAGACAACAUAAAAAAAAAAGAAACAGACUCAAAACAUAAAAAAAUUCCUUAAGCAACUCCUGGAUGCAACGAUCCUGACCAGAUGGUCCUGGGGUGUCUGGCAUGCUCAAACUCCGGUAAGUAGAUCCAUACUUGUCUGAGAAAACUAAAGCCAAAUAGAGUUAAAGAUUAGAACACUAUGUGAGACAAUAAAAUUCCUAUCGGACACAUGCAUGACAUGAUUGAAGCUAUUUUUGCAAGAUGGCCUAUGUGGCCAAAAGGUUGCUAGAAAUGCAAACUCAACAAAAGUGACCUCUAGGACAUGGAAAAAUUACUUUACAUAAAUGACCCUUUUUGUAGAAAUAGCCUAUGUGGACAAAAAGAUGGCUAAGCAUGCAAAUUCAAUACAAUGGACCUUAAACAUAGAGAACAUCUUGUUGUGGACCUAGACACUCAGACAUGGGUCACUGAACCACUUUUGCAAAAAUAGCCCUAUUUUGCAAGACGACCUAUGUGGCCAAAAAUGGCUAGACAUGCAAAUUUGACAAGGACAGACCUUAAAGUAAAGAGACACCUAAUUGUGGAUUCAAGACUCUCCAGACAAUUAAACAAACCACUUUUGCGAAAAUAGCCAUAUUUUGCAAAAUGACCGAUAUGGCCAAAAGUGGCUAGACAUGCAAGAAUUGGCUACGAGCCUCGAAGCCAAGAACCUAAGACUCACUAGGAAAAUCGGACUCUAUGUGGGCUGCCUACGUGUCACGACCCAAAUUCCACUAAGGGUCAUGAUGGCGCCGGACAACGCUGUCACGCAAGCCAACCAAAAUACUUAAUUAAAUUCUCAUUUAAAUAAUUUUGAAAACUAUGAUUUUUCCUUCAAUUUUACCAGUAAAAGAUAAUCAUUUCAAAUCAAAUAUGAAUGUUAAGAAGUUAAUACAAGAUACGCCAUAAUUAUCCCAAAACCCGGUGUCACAAGUGCAUGAGCAUUUACUGGAGAACGCAAUAAAAUACAGUAACUGUCCGGAAUACAAGUGGACAAAAAUGGAAAACAUAGUAAAAUAUGCUUAAGGGGACUCUGCUGGCUGCGGGUUGUCUCGAUAAAUGUAGCUCACCUAAGUCUCCGUAUCAACAAUAUCGUUAUGCCACUAAGCCACUAGCCACACUUGAACCUGUGCAACAAAAAUGCACAGCAAGUGUAGUAUGAGGAUGAAAACAGAGUGUACCCAUUGAGUAUCCCGUCUAAUAUCGAAGAAGUAGAGACGAGAGGUCGACUUUGAUACUUACUAAUGGUCCAAUGAUAAUAUAGAAAAGUGUGAAGAAUUCAUCAAUUUCAUAAAGCAAAAUUUAAUUCAUACACCCGGAAUACAGGUAAACAACUUCUCAAAUAAUAAAGGAUUUCCAAAGGUUUACUUUUCAUUAUCUUUAUCAAUUUAUCUCUGGCCAGGAAGGGACAAUUAUCAACAUUUAAAAUUCUCAAGCAAGCAAUACAAGAAUGCACAUAUCAUGCCGAGGUCGUACGGCCCGAUUCAACAAUAUUUAAACUAUGCACUGUCAGAGGGUCGAAUGGCACGAACCAUAGAUGCAUCUAUUUAAUCCACCGAGGCAUUCGGCUCGUUCCAAAAUUAAAUGCAAACAGACAGUCAAUCAAGAAGACAACAUGGAACAAUUAACCAAAGAAAAGCCAAUUCUCUUUUAACAAUUUUAUAAAAUAAAGUUUAAUCCUUUUAGAAAUUCAUUUACCAAUUCGAUAGGAUUUAAGCAAUUCAACUGCCAACAAGAUUACAGAUAUUCCAAGUAUAGCAUGCUUUUGGGUCCUAGACUACCUGGACUUACACAUAAUAGUAGCUAUGCACGGACUCUCGUCACCUCGUGCGUACGUAGCCCCUACAAAUAGGAGCACAUAACCAAUUUUAUCACCUAUGGGGACAAUUCCCUCUUACAAGGUUAGAAAGGAGACUCAUCUCGCUCUGAAGAUCCAUAACCGACAUUCCACGCUCUUCCGAAGACUCGAAUCGAUGCACAAUGCUCCAAAACUAGCCAAUAAUUAUGCAAAUCCAUUAAUAUAUUUUCAAUUAUUCAUUACAAUCCAAUUUAUAACAAUUCCUAACCCCGAUCGAAAAGUUAACAAAAUUGCCCUCGGGCCCACGUGCCCGGAUUCCGAAAUUUUUCGAAGAUAAAGUUUACCCAUGAACUCACGAACUCAAAUAUAUGAUUUUCUCUUAAUUUCAUACCCAAAAUCAUGGUCAAAAUCCAAGAAUAUGAAUUUUCUAGGUUUUCCUCAAACCCUCAAAUUUUUACCAAUUUACAUGCAAAGCUUCAUACAUAAUCAAUGUAUUUAAUUCAAGAUAGGUGGGGUUAGCUUACCUUGCCGUUGAUGAUGAAAAAACCCACUUGAAGCUCUCCAAAAUCGGCUCUAAUGGAAGAAAUGGGGUUGAAAUGAACCCAAUCCCCGAUUUAAAGGAACUCACUGCCUCCAACAUUUCCGCAUCUGCGGUCACUUGACCGCUUUUGCGGUUCUGCAGGUGCGACCCACUACCCGCUUCUGCGGUUUCUCACCAUGUUGCCCUUUCCGCUUCUACUCCUCAACCACCGCAAGUGUGGUCCCUCUUUGCGGCGACAUGACCGCAUCUGCGGUCUCUUCAUUUCUUGCCCAGAACCGCAUCUGCGUCCCUCCUAGUCGCUUCUGUGGCUCCGCUCCUACGACCAAACCUCGCAGGUGCGGUUACACCAGAUACCAGCUGCUGAAGCCCUUCUUCAAACUCCAAAUUUGAUCCAUUAACCAUCCGGAAUCCACCUGAGGCCCCCGGGACCCCGUCCAAUCACACCAACCAGUCCCACAACACAUUACGGACUUGCUCGAAGCCUCAAAUCAUAUCAAAUAACGCUAAAAUCAUGAUUCGGCCUCCAAUCCAAGCUUAAUGAACUUUAGAAUUUCAAACUUCUACAUUCGAUGACGAAACCUAUCAAAUCACGUCCGAUUGACCUCAAAUUUUGCACACAAGUCAUAUUUGACAUUACGGACCUACUCCAACUUUCGGAAUUGGAUUCUGACCCCGAUAUUAAAACAGAUACGGGGAAUUGUACUCAACAUCACAUUGUUGCGGCGCGCAACCCGAUCCAAACAACAUACCCAUGGCGGCAUGCCACCAGAUCCACACAUAGAAUUCAUAUAAGAAGAUACAUACUGAGCCAGAUUGCUCAUUACAACAAAAUACCGAGUGUCGGUCACAAGCACGCUAAGUGCAUAAUACCAUCCAUAGGGAGACAUAUAGCGCCAUAAGCUACAAAAAUCAAGCACAACUGAGGUGCGAUAUACGAUCUGAAUCUCAAGAGCCAUUAUGCUCAUAUAACAUCAUCUUUACGCGGAACCUCAACAUAUAAGAAAUUUACCAAGCUGUCUCAUAACCCAUGCGGCGCGAUAUAUCACUACAUGAAAUAGUUGACGACAAAAUAGUACCCCGACUACUUUUCCAUAAGGAGCGCAUUGCUGAAAUGAACACAUCUGGUCUAAUAUAAGCCCAUAUUCACAUUUAGAUCCAUCCACAGACCUCAAGCUUAUUCUGAGCGCACUAAACUAGGCUAAUAACCUUUCAAACGUCCAUAAUAACUCCCUUUUUUCUCAUACACAGGAGAACUACCAUCAUGACCGUAGUAAUCCUCCACAGUUAACAACCCUAUAAACUGAGUGUCCUCCAGGCAUCAAUUAUCAAUUUAAUGACAUCACUACAAUCUUCAUACUUGGUUUAACUCCUCAAUCAAUCAAGUGACUACAUGCCACACAUAUACAACAUUCCCGUGGGGCACGCUCCCACAACCUUUUGUAACAGAUGACAGGUAUGUACAUCCAAACCACCGGUCACACUAACGCUGAAAAGCGAUCAAGAAUCCUUAACCAGGAUGUGAAGCCUUUUUCACAAAACACCGAUCUCAGGUGACGUUGAAGACAAUACCAACUUGCUUUAAACAUCGAGACUCCUUUACUACUCAUCCGAGCUUGUGACAUCCUUUUCAACACCAAACUGCAACCUUGAUCCUCACUUCAAAUUCCAUACCACUCCCUGCACCCAACAUGCCAAUAUACGAUAGAACACAAUCUUCAUCAUAACUCUGGAACCAUUAAUAGAUUAAUACUUCAUCGUAUAGAAACUUUUUACUUAGCUCAUUUUAGGAGAACCAUAGAAACACACAAGUGAAUUCUCAUAACUGUAGAAUAUGCAAAUCUCUAAGUAGUGGUCUAAGCCACCAUAGCCCUUCCGGGAUCUGCCUACACAUAAUCGGCCAUAACAGUAAAAUACUUCUGAAUAUAAUCAAUUACGGCGACCGUCGAGCCUCGUGCGCACCAUCACCACUAUGCGAAUUCAACUAUGGCUGACCAAUCUAACUUCCUCUAAUUCAUCCUUAACUUGCCUUAGAGAUAAUAUUAGCUCCAUUCCUUACAUCACCAACAUAAAUCCGCACUCAUCUUGAGUGACCCCAUUCCAUGAGACCACAUUGUCUCAAAUUCCACGAACUAUUUCAUACCUCCCUUGUGCGCACAUUCGCAUCCUCAACUGGUGCACCCAUUCUGAUAAUCUCUCUAUGAAUCCAAAGUCUUUUCCCUUUUUUUCCUCCCGAUGCUACACUGCAAGUCGAAAACAUCAUAGAUAAUUCCGAGCCUCUUAUCAUAAUCUUCUACAAAAGAUCGAUUCUUAACCAUACUGUGGGCUUGAACCCUUAGGCACCGCAUUUUUAAAUCUUUUGAAUUCACUAGGACCGUUGUUGAGAUUUAUCCACUCUGACUUGGUCCCGAACAUAAUCAACUCCAUGAAUCUUCUAGCACAUGAACACCUUCUCGAUGAAGCACCAGGCCGAAUCACUUUCCUUGAAACCUGCAUCUACACAACGCAUAAAUCCUGUACCCUUUCCCAAGUCUGAUCAUGAGUCAAUACGACUAACAAUAGAACAUCUUUAACAAUUCCUUUGCUCAAAUUACCUCUAAAGUUCGUUUCCCUUAGCUGAAAUACAUCCAUAUGCUAAUAACCUGAAAUCUCACAAAUAGACGACCAUGCAAUCCAACCGUAGGCGGUGGAACUCUCCCACUUAGCUUGAAGCCACUAUUACACAACUCCAGAACCCGCCAAGAUUCUUUAUCUCUCAUUGACAUAACCUUGCGCAAUCCACCGCCAAAUUCCUCGAGAUCAUUUCGUUAGUAUUUCAUGAACACUCUAAAUUUCCGUCAACAUUCACAUAUUCGACCUCUUACCGGAAUGGCCAGUAAAAUCUUCUGCAGAAGCUUUGCCAACCAAACGAUCGCUAACCUUCUCACAGGGAAUAACCCACCUAUUGAAAUCACUUUCCGACAUCUUCCAACGCUGUUGCACGGGGUACAAUCACUACGACAUCAAUAACCCAUCUUGAGUCUGAGCUCACUCUCUAGCUGCACAAGUCCAUUCACCCCUCAUGGACAUCAAUUAAAUGUGCGGCAACAUCUUUCCAAUUCAAAGGUAUGUUGUAUCCUUCUUCAUUUCAGGCAGCUCCCUUCUAUUAUAUCAAAUCUCCUGCUGCGUAAUAGCCCAUGCUCCAAAUUAUAUCCGUAGGCCCCAAUCACCAAUCUCUAAAAUUCCCAAAUCAUUCCAAACUCUCCUUAAGGUGCAUAGUCAUCCUACCGCAAAGGCCAUAUGCAACUCCGCCACUCUCCCACUUUGGCAGAACUCACCCCUUUAAUCUACUACUCGACCUUUGCUUCUUAUACCUGGACUUCUAGAUGUUUUAACCACUGCCUGACACUCCCCACAUGUCCUUCAUCAUCCGUUGCUACUCAGCUAUUACCUCAAAUAAAUUCCACCUACGUAGCGCUUGAACCCACCAACCGCUACUAACUUUAAAUCUCCCCGAGGUCAUCUUUCUUGGGCCAUCAACACUAGAUAUACCGAUUCAAUCCUGAACCAUCGCACAUUGUGAUCUCUGACAGUUGCCUCUCCAUUAUUAUUUCACAAUAUCCUGCCCCAAAGGCGAAUUGAAGAAAACCAUAACACCGGCAAACUCAACAUAUUCAAUCGAGGACGACGAUACCACGUCACAGAUGAAAAUUCCACCACGCUCGAAAAUACCAAGUCUCGUUACUCCAUCAAACCAAAGUUGAAUAUUUAUAGCCCGAUUGCCUCUCUUCCAACGGGAAAUAAAAUUCUGAAUCUCUGAAUCUUGCAUUGAGUAAACAUCCUUCCAAGUCAGUCACUACUUCAACGCAUAGACAAACACUCUACCAUUACACCAAUAUUGUGUGAUAACAACGCACGAAUCAUCAUAACAAUUGAUGCCAAAUCUCAAAACCUUAGGUAAUAUUGAAACUGAGCUGAAAUGACAGAACGACCUUCCGCAAGGCGACGACAAUAGCUCGAUCAAAUACGCAGGGGGGAACAUCCCGCACCACAUCUGUAGUACUAUUACAUUUUCCCAAUUCUCGAUUUAUAAUAAGCGCUUCACGUUGCAUAAGAUUUAGUAGGAAAGAAACAAGCCAUAAGCCUUAAGAAAUCUAAUCGCACGAUGGGGAAUCAAGUAGGGAGGUGCUCCUAACAGUCGUGUAGCCUCUCGAAGAUAAGUACAGACAUCUCUGUACCGAUCCAUGAGACUCUACUAGACUUGCUCAUGACUCAUGAGACCUAAGGAAACCUAGUGCUCUGAUACCAUGUUGUCAUGACCCAAAUUUUACUAAGGGGCAUGAUGGCGCCGGACAUCGCUGUCAGGCAAGCCAACCAAAAUACUUAAUUAAAUUCUUAUUUAAAUAAUUUUGAAAACUAUGAUUUUUCCUACAAUUUUACCAGUAAAAGAUAAUCGUUUCAAAUCAAAUAUGAAUGUUAAGAAGUUAAUAUAAGAUAUGCCAUAAUCAUCCCAGAAUCCGGUGUCACAAGUGCAUGAGAAUUUAUUAGAGAACGCAAUAAAAUAUAGUAACUUUCCGGAAUACAAGUGGACAUAAAUGAAAAAUACAGUAACAUACUCUGAAGAGGACUCCGCUGGCUUCGGAUCGUCUCGAUAAAUGCAACUCACCUACAUCUCCGUAUCAACCAUGUCAUUAUGCCACUAAGCCACUAGCCACACUUGAACCUGUGCAACAAAAAUGCACAGCAAGUGUAGUAUGAGUACGAAAACAAUGUGUACCCAAUGAGUAUCCCGUCUAAUAUCGAAGAAGUAGAGACGAGAGGUCGACUUCGACACUUACUAAUGGUCCAAUGAUAAUAUAGAAAAAGUAUGAGGAAUUCAUGGAUUUCAUAAAGCAAAAUUUAACUCAUAAAGCCAGAAAGCAGGUAAACAACUUCUCAAAUAAUAAAGGAUUUCCAAAAGUUUACUUUUCAUUAUCUUUAUCAAUUUAUCUCUGGCCAUGAAGGAGCAAUUAUCAACAUUUAAAAUUCUCAAGCAAGCAAUACAAGCAUGCACAUAUCAUGUCGAGGUCAUACGGCCCGAUCCAACAAUAUUUAAAUUGUGCACUGCCAGAGGGUCGAAUGACGCGAACCAUAGAUGCAUCUAUUUAAUCUACUGAGGCGUUUGGCCCGUUCCGAAAUUAAACGCUAAACGCAUAUAGACAGUCAAUCAAGAAGUCAACAGAGAACAAUUAUCCAAAGAAAAGCCAAUUCUCUUUUAACAAUUUUAUAAAAUAAAGUUUAAUCCUUUUUGAAAUUCAUUUACCAAUUCGAUAGGAUUUAAGCAAUUCAACUGCCAACAAGAUUAUAGAUAUUCCAAGUAUAGCAUGCUUUUAGGUCCUAGACUACCCGGACUUACACAUAAUAGUAGUUACACACGGACUCUCGUCACCUCGUGCAUACGUAGCUCCCACAAAUAGGAGCACAUAACCAAUUAUAUCACAUAUGGGGACAAUUCCCUCUUACAAAAUUAGAAAGGAGAUUCACCUCGCUCUGAAGAUCCAUAACCGGCAUUCCACGCUCUUCCGAAGACUCGAAUCGAUGCACAAUACUCCAAAACUAGCCAAUAAUUAUGCAAAUCCAUUAAUAUAUGUUCAAUUACUCAUUACAAUCCAAUUUAUAACAAUUCCUAACCUCGAUCGAAAAGUUGACAAAAUUGCUCUCUAACCCACGUGCCCGGAUUCUGAAAUUUUUCGAAGAUAAAGUUUACCCAUGAACUCACGAACUCAAAUAUAUGAUUUUCUCAUUAUUUCAUACCCAAAAUCAUGGUCAAAAUCCAAGAAUACGAAUUUUCUAGGUUUUCGUCAAACCUCCAAAUUUCUACCAAUUUACAUGCAAAUAUUCAUACAUAAUCAAUGUAUUUAACUCAAGAUAGGUGGGGUUAACUUACCUUGCCGUUGAUGAUGAAAACCCCCACUUGAAGCUCCCCAGAAUUGGCUCCAAUGGAAGAAAUGGGGUUGAAAUGAACCCAACCACCGAUUUAAAGGAACUCAUUGCCUCCAGCAUUUCCCCACCUGCAGUCACUUGAUCGCUUUUGCGGUUCCGCAGGUUCGACCCAAUACCCGCUUCUGCGGUUUCUCACCUGGCUGCCCUUUCCACUUCUGCGCUUCAACCACCGCAGGUACGGUCCCGCUUCUGCAGCUACAUGACCGCAUCUGCGGUCUCUUCACUUCUGGUCCAGAACUGCAUCUGCGUCCCUCCUAGCCGCUUCUGCAGCUCCGCACCUACGGCCAAACCUUGCAGGUGUGGUUACACCGGAUACUAGCUACUGAAGCCCUUUUUUAAACUCCAAAUUUGAUCUAUUAACCAUCCAGAAUCCAGCCGAGGCCCUAGGGACCCCGUCCAAUCAUACCAACCAGUCCCAAAGCACAUUACGAACUUACUCGAGGCCUCAAAUCAUAUCAAAGUUUAAUGAACUUUAGAGUUUCAAACUUCUACAUUCGAUGACGAAACCUAUCAAAUCACGUUCGAUUGACCUCAAAUUUGGCACACAAGUCAUAUUUGACAUUACGGACCUACUCCAACUUCCGGAAUUGGAUUUUGACCCCGAUAUCAAAAAGUCCACUUCCGGUCAAACUUCUCAAAAACCUUCAAAUUUCUAUCUUUAGCCAAAUGACUCCAAAAUGACCUACAGACCUCCGAAUUCACUUCUGAUCGCCCUCCCAAUACCAAAAUCACCAUACGGAUCUAUUCCCAGACUAAAAAUCUCAAAUGGACAUUGAUAACCCUGAAAUGCACUUCAAUCCAAACUUAUGAGAUUCUUCCAAAAAUGCUAACUUCCAGAAUAGGCACUGAAACGUUCCCGGGUCUUCCAAAACCCAGUCCGGACAUACGUCCAAGUCUGAAAUCAUUCUACGAACCUUUUAGAACCUUCGAAUCCCGAUUUUGAGGUCGUUUACUCAAAAAAUCCAACCUUAGUCAAUUUUUUCAACUUAAAGAUUCCGAAAUGAGAAUUCUCUUUCCAAAUCAACUCUGAACUUCCCAUAAUUCAAUUCCGACCAUGCGCACAAGUCAUAAUACCUGAAGUGAAGCUACUCAUGGUCUCAAACUGCUGAACGGCGUGCUAUAGCUCAAAAUGAUCGGUCGGGUCAUUACACUACAUAUCCCACCUCAAAAUACGAGAAUCAGGUAAACGUAGUCCGGAAAGAUUUGAUACGGGCGAGAAUUAAACAAAUCAACUAAUUUAGAGAAAAUAUAUUUUUUGUCUUUUGUUUUGAAAAGUGAUGAAACAUGUAAAAUCUUUUUGGAUUUUCUUUAUCCUCUUUUUUUAUUUUAUUUUUUUUAGAAAAUGAUAGGAAAGAGCAAAAUCUUUUUGGAUUUUUUUUGUCUUUUUCUUGGAAAAAAAGUGAAAGAAAAAUAUAAAUGGGCCCUACUUGCUUCAUUUUUAUACUUCACCCUCCUUUCUUUCUUAUUUACCCUCAACCCUCAUUGGUCCGCCAAAUGACCCCUUUUACCCUUGAAGACUACAACAUGUAGCACAUACGAUGCAUCAUGAUGGUCUUUUAUUUUUGGGUACACUUGUCCUAGACGGACCUAACCUUAUGUUGAGGCCCCAAGGUGAAAUAAACAUGAUGCAAACAAGCGAUCCUACUAGGGAUCCGACAUAAGGCUAUGUUAUUCUAGGUUUAAAUCCUGGGUGUAUUGUUCUAGACCUGGCUUACCCGAGUGGACAACUCGAGCCGGGGGGAGGGCUACGUACCGGGAACCAAAAGGCCAUCCGGCUUUGUAACUUGUCCGAACCUCAUUUUAAAUUAGGGUAUGACACUAACAGAAAAGAAGUCACGCCAGCAUGCACUUUCCAGCAGAUUAGAAUAUAAGGGUUUUCGUAGCAGUUUAUAUAUAGUACAAAUAAUAUCAAAGCGGUAAAAGGCAACAUUUAGCACAUUAGGCCCAAGCAUGUAAUAAAAAUUAGCUAAUAAAUAAAAUCCAAAUAUAACAAUUAUUCUAACCUCGAAUUCUUGAAUCCUGAACCAGAGAUUCUGGGUUCUCAUCCCCAGCAGUCUCGCCAGAGUUGUCACACCUCCUUUUUCUACCCGGAAAGGGUAUAUAAGGGAGUUUUUCCAAUUAAAGUGACAAUAACCGAAUCAGGAUUAUUUAUAUUCAAAUUCAGAGUCUCCACUUGGGAUAAUUUAUGGUGUCCCAAGUCACCGGUUUAGAAUCCCGAAUCUAGGAAAGUUUGACUAUGUUUUACAGUCCGCGAAACACAGAAAUCCGGGUAAGGAAUUCUGUUAACCCGAGAGAAGGUGUUAGGCAUUUCCGGGUUCCAUGAUUUUAGCACGGUCGCUCAACUAUUAUUAUUGGCCUAAUUAUUUGAUUAAUUACAUUUUUUAUACCUAUUGUGCAUUUUUAGCUUUUGACUGUUUUUAAUUAUUUAUGAAAUUAUUCUGGAACAAGUUACGAUUGUCGUACACUUGUUAGUUUGGUACAUAUUGCGAAUCGUGUCACGGGAACCGUACCCACGAUUUACAACAUGUUUAAAUUAUUAAUAUUAUUAGUUGUUGUGGCCGAGCCACAUAAAUAUACCCCCGGAUUUGAAAAUUAUGUAUCACAACUACAUCACGGGAAUCAUACCCGUAGUCACGAUGAUUUAAUUACACGCCUAAACCAAACUAUGAUAUUCAUAAACUAUUUAGUAGUUAUUUCCUUAAUUGCAUGACAAAGCUAAAGAUAAAUGUGUGGUGUGCUAAUUAUCAGCUUUGGGUCUGCAGAUCGACCUUGUUAGGCCCAAUUUUCUUCAAACCACAUUUAACAUCAUCAUGACCCAUUUCAUCAUUAAAAGUGCAAUAACAGUGCUAACCUUUAAACAAUAUUCUCAAAUAAUAUGUUUCACCUAUAUAAAACCUUGAAUUUAGUUCAUCAAUACAAGUAAAUUACACAACAAAAUUAAAUACAGAAAUGAUAAAAGAAAGGAAAAAAUACCAAAAAGCAGUAACAUUGAAGAAGUUUUUAGAGGUAACCAUUGAAGCAAUUGAACUAGCAGCAAAGAAGCACUGAGUCGUCCUCAAAAAUAGCUCAGUCAAAGUACCAGGUGUACCAGCAAAAUCCCUAAUUUCUAUAUAUCCUCAAACUUAAAAAUAAACUUUUACCCUUCUUGAUGGGUAGAAAGAAAACAACCCAACUAAGAAAAACAUUAUCUUAAGAACCUUUCUUUAACCAUUUCUGAAGCAAACACAAGUAAAAAUUUGUAUUCUUGAUUUAACCAACAGCCAAAACUAUGACUUUUCACCAAAAAUCUGAUGAAUCAAGAAACUUCAGCUAAUUUGCUACAACCCUUAAAAAAUUACCAAAAUAAGAUGCCCCUUUGAGCAGUCAGUGGUUGUGCCAACAGCUCCCAGAACUUCAAUCCCCAAAUAAGCCAGCACUACAUGAUUCUAUUGAAAGUUCGGGAUUUAUAAUUCACCAAAAAAAUGAGGUGGAGAACAUUGUGAGUUGUUAUGCAGACACGGCAUAAACUCUUGUUUAUAAGCUUAACCCAAAAAAAAGCUAAAAUUUCAUCUCGACUUUACAUUUCCUCUUAAUUGCUCACAAAUGAUCAAAGAUUAUUUAGAAAGUAACUACAGAUCUAUGAGGUUCAAACUUUUCUUUCAAAAACAAGGAUAGGAAGAAACCUUUAACUAGUAAUAGCACUUCUUUUAACAAAGCACUAUUAGCAAACUGGUAAAAUAUUAACGCAAUUUUAAAACCUCAAUUAAAUAAUAUUUUUGGAUAUGCCAGAUCCAAAAAGGUUGAUAUAACAGCAUAGAGUACAACAAAAUAAAUCUGACAUAUGCUUACCGGAACAAAUUGAUUGUGAACCAUGGGUUUCAAAGGAGACUUCUCUAUUUUGUGUUGUCCGUGUGUUAGCUGUUAUAUCUCUCCUUUUAGGAUUUAGGAAAUUGGAGAUUGAAUGAUUUUUGUUCCAUCCUUUCCUUUCAAGAAAAUGGUUGUCGUGUUUUUGUUGUCUAGGUCUAGGAAUUGGAAUCUUAGGGUAGAGUUUCUAUAAUUGGGUAUUUUAUAUGGAGGUGGGAAGGGAUGAUGGCCAUUGGAUUAGAAGGAAAUAAAUGGCUAGGAUUAAAUCUUGCACUUAAGUGGGCUAAUGAGUUGGGAAGAAUGGGCUAAGGGUAAUUGAGUUGGACCAUGUCUUUUGGGUUUGAACUUAGGCUAAGAAGACCAAAUAAUACAAUGUAUCUAUAAAGUGUAAAAUCACUCUUAAUUAAAAUAAACUAAUAUAAAACUAAAUACUAAAAGUGAAACUAUUUUUUGUAUUUUCAAAUGUUAUAAUAAAGUAAAAAGUAGGAAGAAGAAGCUAAAGCCAUAGUGAAAUUAAAAUACUAUAAAUAUAAAUAUACUAAUUAUCUUUAAACUAAAGAUGAAAUAUAUUUUUUUUGUAUUUUUUUUGUGAUAGAAUAAAGUAAAAGAGUCAAAACUAUUUAAAAUAACAAUAUUAAACCUAAACUAAAUAUAUUACGCUAAAAAGUAUGAAAUUUCGAUGAGGGUCAAAAAUGACAUGUCUACACCAGCCGCCAAAGUUCACGAUCAGGUCCCAGUUGCGAACGCU
RNAcentral lists this long non-coding RNA (13082 nucleotides) under Nicotiana tabacum (common tobacco). RNAcentral describes it as "long non-coding RNA (NTAB_LNC014052)". Lineage: Eukaryota; Viridiplantae; Streptophyta; Magnoliopsida; Solanales; Solanaceae. The record is from RNAcentral.